UUGAAGAGUUUGAUCAUGGCUCAGAUUGAACGCUGGCGGCAGGCCUAACACAUGCAAGUCGAGCGGUAGCACAGAGAGCUUGCUCUCGGGUGACGAGCGGCGGACGGGUGAGUAAUGUCUGGGAAACUGCCUGAUGGAGGGGGAUAACUACUGGAAACGGUAGCUAAUACCGCAUAACGUCGCAAGACCAAAGUGGGGGACCUUCGGGCCUCAUGCCAUCAGAUGUGCCCAGAUGGGAUUAGCUAGUAGGUGGGGUAACGGCUCACCUAGGCGACGAUCCCUAGCUGGUCUGAGAGGAUGACCAGCCACACUGGAACUGAGACACGGUCCAGACUCCUACGGGAGGCAGCAGUGGGGAAUAUUGCACAAUGGGCGCAAGCCUGAUGCAGCCAUGCCGCGUGUGUGAAGAAGGCCUUCGGGUUGUAAAGCACUUUCAGCGGGGAGGAAGGCGGUGAGGUUAAUAACCUCACCGAUUGACGUUACCCGCAGAAGAAGCACCGGCUAACUCCGUGCCAGCAGCCGCGGUAAUACGGAGGGUGCAAGCGUUAAUCGGAAUUACUGGGCGUAAAGCGCACGCAGGCGGUCUGUCAAGUCGGAUGUGAAAUCCCCGGGCUCAACCUGGGAACUGCAUUCGAAACUGGCAGGCUAGAGUCUUGUAGAGGGGGGUAGAAUUCCAGGUGUAGCGGUGAAAUGCGUAGAGAUCUGGAGGAAUACCGGUGGCGAAGGCGGCCCCCUGGACAAAGACUGACGCUCAGGUGCGAAAGCGUGGGGAGCAAACAGGAUUAGAUACCCUGGUAGUCCACGCCGUAAACGAUGUCGAUUUGGAGGUUGUGCCCUUGAGGCGUGGCUUCCGGAGCUAACGCGUUAAAUCGACCGCCUGGGGAGUACGGCCGCAAGGUUAAAACUCAAAUGAAUUGACGGGGGCCCGCACAAGCGGUGGAGCAUGUGGUUUAAUUCGAUGCAACGCGAAGAACCUUACCUGGUCUUGACAUCCACAGAACUUUCCAGAGAUGGAUUGGUGCCUUCGGGAACUGUGAGACAGGUGCUGCAUGGCUGUCGUCAGCUCGUGUUGUGAAAUGUUGGGUUAAGUCCCGCAACGAGCGCAACCCUUAUCCUUUGUUGCCAGCGGUCCGGCCGGGAACUCAAAGGAGACUGCCAGUGAUAAACUGGAGGAAGGUGGGGAUGACGUCAAGUCAUCAUGGCCCUUACGACCAGGGCUACACACGUGCUACAAUGGCAUAUACAAAGAGAAGCGACCUCGCGAGAGCAAGCGGACCUCAUAAAGUAUGUCGUAGUCCGGAUUGGAGUCUGCAACUCGACUCCAUGAAGUCGGAAUCGCUAGUAAUCGUAGAUCAGAAUGCUACGGUGAAUACGUUCCCGGGCCUUGUACACACCGCCCGUCACACCAUGGGAGUGGGUUGCAAAAGAAGUAGGUAGCUUAACCUUCGGGAGGGCGCUUACCACUUUGUGAUUCAUGACUGGGGUGAAGUCGUAACAAGGUAACCGUAGGGGAACCUGCGGUUGGAUCACCUCCUU
RNAcentral lists this ribosomal RNA (1536 nucleotides) under Klebsiella pneumoniae. RNAcentral describes it as "bacterial SSU rRNA". It matches the Rfam family "Bacterial small subunit ribosomal RNA". The record is from RNAcentral. Lineage: Bacteria; Pseudomonadati; Pseudomonadota; Gammaproteobacteria; Enterobacterales; Enterobacteriaceae.